AAGACAUCUGAGCUCCUUUCUCUCGAUCUUUCUGUCUCGCGUCUCUGUGUCUGCCUUCUGCCCGUCUCUCCUUUUCUUUUCUUCUUCCUUGUUAAAGCCAUACUGUAUUUGCCCGCCUUUGUUGGCAGGGGGUAAAUGUAGGGCUUGAGGACAGGGCGGGAGGGAAGUAAUGGAGGGGUGUGGGGACUUUGAGUUCAGAGAGUUCAGCUGAGGAGAGAAAUAAAUUCAUAAACAACAAAGGAGACGUGACGUCAGGGUUGAGGGGCUGUCCAACCUGCUGCCUGAAUCUGAGCCUCCAUAGAAGAACCGGAUUCUUCACACCACGUGUGUGUGUGCGUGCGUGUGUACAGUAUGAACGUGUGUGUAUGUGUGUGUGCGUCCAUUGUCCUGUCUUUGAGAAAAGACUUGUGGUGUUCAAGCAGAGAAGCUGGGCUAUUGUGGUCUGCUUUGUGUCCGCAGUUGGUGUUUGAAGACUGAGAGAAGCCUCUGGUAAUGUGUGUGUUGGUAUCUGUUUGGCCAGUCAGAGGACUCCGCCGCUAUUAUUACAGCAGCUGCGACAACGAAUUAGGCGUUUCACUCGAAACAAGCUUUGCUUUUUGUCUGUAAUUGGUUGCUUGAAUCGAAUGGUAGAAGAGUGUUCCUGGGUUUUUUUAGAGUUACACUCAGUAUUUUCAAAAUGACAUCAGCUCGGAGGUGAGUGCUGAUUGGUUGGCUCGGCUUGGGAUACCCGCUUCAGCACCAAUGAUUGGCCCGCAAGCUGGCUACAGAGAAGGUCGGCCAUUAAUGAGCAGAUGGAUUUAUGUUUUCUCUCCUAAUGAUUGAGGUCAUCUAGAGGCGACAGCUCGCUGAUCCAAGAUCUGCAUUGGUGUUCAACUAUCAUGCUCGGGUGAGAAAGCAAAGGGAAACCUGGGAAGGAUGCCAAAGGCAGGGGGGGAAAGUAUCCACCCUCCCUGCUCAUUGAUUCAUUUAGCUGAACUCUCUCAAAGCCCUCCCUCUCACGAGGGCUGAUAUUAUCCCCAAUGGAGGGAGAGAGGACGGAUUGAGGGGAGACGCAAAGAAAAACGGGCAGAACAGAGAUGUCAAAAAAGACAGGAAGUCUGCCAGGAAUCCUUUUUCUGGUGAGAGAACUUGAAAAACAAAAGUCCAACAGCGUAUAUGAGAAAUCUCAAGCCAGUUUGAGCUUCUUUAAAAAAAAUCUAUUGACUGUAUGAACAUGGUGAGAUGCAACAAUAUGGCAGAAGUGUCGGGAUCUGCUUGUCUCUCUCGCCAUCUGUCUGUUGCUGCAGGAUAGUAUGAGUGGGGUAUGUUUUGGAUAUUGGAUAAUAAAGGUGUACGUGAGCCGAUACCGGACUGUUUUGUGUCGCCGCGUCGGCUCACGACAGUUGACGUUUCUUCUGGUACUUUGUUUCCUUGUCUUUCUGUGGCACACUCUCAGUCUUAACUCUUUUCUCGGACUCCUCCUCUUUCUGUUCCUUCUCUCGCUACAGCAUGUCACUCCCUUCCUCUUUCUGUGUCUCUGCACCCCCCACCUCCUCCCGUCCUCCCCUCCUUUCUCUCUCCUUCCCUCUUGGCAGCGGUGCCAAAGUGGGCUGGCAGACCGAGGCAAACACAGCACAGGGCAGAGCAGAGGGUGAUCCAAAGGCUGGUGAUUUGAUUAUGUUGGCUGUGUGUGAGCAGACGUCCCUCUGUCACCUCGUGUACGGACAGACGCACUCACGCCAGUAGGAGGGGAUUGUGGGAAGGGGGUGUAGCUCUCAGAGGGUGUGCUCUACUCCUCUCUUUUCCCUUCUUCCCGCCAUCACGGCCCUCUUCUCCGUCAGUCGUCCGGCCCAGCCCGUCGCUCACUACAGGCUUCAGGUAUUUCCCUUUUUUUAAUCCUGUGACACCUUUUCCCUGCAGUCUGUCUCCCCGAGUUCCUCUCGCCCUGUUCUCUGUCCUUUAUCGUGGUCUUUCUCCUAAACGUUGUCUGUUGUUAUCGGUUGCCACGCCGCACUCUCCUCGGCGCCAUUUUGGCUCAAUGUACAUAACAGGAGAAACUUUUCUAGAGCUCAGAGGGACACUGCGACUCCCUGCUGACAGUCUUCUUUCCCCUGGUGUCUCUAUCUCUUUCUGUCUUAACCUGAACCCCUCUUUGCUGCAGGACAGCAGGCUCUGACGGGGGGGUCAACAGUAUUUUCUGUGGUUUUCUGUAUUGAACAGGUGUCUCUUUGGAGACUGGUAGGAGGGACGACAGGCCUUCUUGGUUACUCACUGACCUCAGAGGGUUGUGUGGCUUGAGAAUGGUUGUGAGCUUCAGGUUAGUGUAAGUAUAGGUGCUAACCAGUGUUGAAGAGCUGUUAUGGGACAAGUGAGGCACAAAUCUCUUAUCAUCCGGGGCCAUGGCGAUAGAGGUAAUAUAAGGACAAUAUUUACUUCCUUUGUUUCUAGCCACUGUAAAAAGUCUGAUAUAUGGCAGAAGUUUCACAGAAACAUGUUUGCUGGUGCAGUUGUGUGUCCAGUUUUAUGCUUUUUCAGUCUAGAGUUGUGUCUGUUUGCCAAAAGAUAGCUGCUACAACACUGCGUCAUUAACAUCUUUAUAUACUUUACAUUUCAGAGGAAGCGUUGGGCAGAAAUGAAACUGACGAUGCUGUAAAGAAAAAGGUUUUUUCAGUAGUGAGACGAAUGUUUUGUUUUAUUUGGUUUUGUUGUUGUUGCUUUUUUUUGACGUGCCAUAUGAGAAGAAGAAAUUUAAAGAGGAGCGGUAGCAUUUGUGUGACUGGUGUGUAUUUAGGCAACAUGUAAAACUGUCGUAUAUAAGGGUCAUUUUGAUUACAGCUGUAUGUCAGAGACCAGAACACUGCACUUGAAUUAGACAAGCGACUGUGCAUAUUGACCAAGAGCCGUUGCAAUAAUUUAACCAAAUUUAGUUGGUCAGAUAUUACAUUGAAAUAUCUGCUUACUGUACAUGUAAUUAGGAACCUAACUGGACAACUUUAUGCCAGAGCUGCAUAUUGCAUCUAAAUAUGGGUUGGUGUUAAAAUGGCGCCUUCAUGCCACGUGUAAACAGUGAACACCAUCAGACCUUUUCAUCAUACCCCUCACAAUUAGCGGCUAUGCUACUCUGUCAAGUCUCUAUUUUUUCUGAAUGCUUAUCUUUCGCAUAAAGUGGCAAAUGGCUGCAUAACAAAAGUAAACUCGUUUUUUGUUUGUUUGUUUUUUGGAUUUUUUGCAUAUCAAAAUGUGGUACUAAAGAAAGACAAACGUUAAGAGGAAAAAGGGCUUGAAAAAAUAUAGAGAUCAAAAGUUACAGAGAUAGAAAGAGAGGGAGGAGUGGGAGUGCUCUUUCCCCGCCCCUCUCGUAUCCUCAGAUGAACUUAUCGUGUUGCCUCAUAAUGCUUCUGAGUUUUUCUCCUAGAGGCAGUCAGGCUUACUUCCUUCAUUCAGCCUCGACAUAGCUGAUUGGUUGAUAUCUUGGCUGACCGACCGCGGUUUGGAGCGAAGCAACAGGAAGUUUCUCUUCUCAUGCAGGAAGCUGCAGCUGUUUCGUCCUGACACACACUGCUUUGCACUUUUGCACGCAUUCUCUUUGUGUGCAUGUGCACAAAUAUGCACAUGCACACAUGCACUGGCUUUGAAAGGGCAUACCUUUCCAAGUGUUUGUGAUUAUAUGCUGUAUACGUGCAUGCUUGUGUACAGUCUGCACCGUGUGGCAUUUGUAAAUGCUCUAACAUGUGGGCGUGUAGCGACAUGCAAGGCCAGGAUUCUGAGCUAUCAGAAACAUUUGAAACCAUGGUAACCACACAUCUCAUUAGCACAUUAGCAAAAGCAUAGACAAGUGGAGAUGAGAGGACAGAGAAAGUAGAUGGAGAGGAGGAAAGCGACCUUUCUUCAUUCGGAGAUUUUAGAGACACACACUAGUCAUUCGACUACUUGGAGGACUGUCCACACAGCCCAAGCCUGCAGAUUGGCUGUUUGGCCUGUCAGCCAUAGCUCCUUGUCUAUAUGUGUAUCUAUGGGUCAGGUUGUUGUUGGAAGCUGAUAGUCAGCACAGUGACUCCCAUAUGCUCUUGGCGUAUCUGGGUCAUAUAUCUUUUCCUCAAACAAACUGUCCAGCAUGUUUAUCCAGCGCUCAGGCUGACUCAUGUCAGUUCAACAUUUGUCUGUGCAGCCAUCUACUGCACAAAACCAAAACACUGAUCGCAAAAGCCUGGAAGCCUUUUUAUUUAAUUACCAUUCAUCUAAUCAAGAUCAACUGAGCUCCUUUAAUGCCCACAGUUUGAGCAACUGUGCUGUGUUGUCUGUACCAGUGUACGGUUGUGUUAGUACACACAUAUGGCAGCAUAUCUCUGCAUACAUGCGAGCAUGAGCUGUGUGUUGUGCCUAGCUAAUGAGGAUAUACAGAACAUCAGAGCGGGCACCAUGCCAAGUGGGAUGGUAGAGGCUCAGUGCUCCUUCGUCCUCUAAUGCAGGAAUAUAGCGUUCCUGAGAGAGUGGGAGGAUGAAAGCUUGUGUGAUAAAGUCACCAUGGUGCUUUUAAGAGGAUCAGUAAGAAUGGACGUGAGUUAGACAAGCAGUCAGUCGGGGAAUUCUUCACUCUGCCAUCUAUUGUGGCUUACUUCCUCCAUCAACGCCACCGCUCCUCCCCCUCUUUAACCACCACCUCCACCUCCUUACUCCCCUUAUUGAAAUUCUGCCUGGCACACAGACUCUGUCCAUUCUUGGCACAAAGCUCAGAGAGCGAAAGAGAGAGAAACACACAAGAACCUGUACCAAUCGUCUGGUGCCCCGUCCGUUGUGCCUGUGCCAAACAUUCAUUCUGUCUCGCGGACCGAGGGACCAGGCGAGCCAAUAGGUGUUUUCCUGCCUCUGCUUCCUGCGAUAAUCUGCUCCAAUUUUGAGGACUUUUGUUGGCAACUGGGUAUGCUGCGAGUGUUCUGAGAUUCGAUAAUUAACCCGCGUGUUUACGUUGUUUGCAUCGGACAAGGAAUAAAUCGCCCGGUGGGGGACAAAGUCUGAAUCCUCCCGUCAGUGGAGGAGAGGAGCUAAGGCUGCUUUCCAUUAUAUUCUUAAUCCUUUUUUUCACGUGGGUUUCUGUUUGUUUUAAUGUGGAGACGUGAAGUUUGUAAAACCUGGUUCCCUUUGCUCGCCGUUUUAAUGGCGUUUGCUCUUUGUUUGACACCGACAUGUUUAGAAAGAAAGAAGAGAGGACAAAAUGAGCGGGCACGCCGUGGUCAAUAUGUCCAU
Molecule: long non-coding RNA, 5223 nt
Organism: Haplochromis burtoni (Burton's mouthbrooder)
Lineage: Eukaryota; Metazoa; Chordata; Actinopteri; Cichliformes; Cichlidae
Exons: 2
Source: RefSeq, a predicted model, not a curated record